This 1403-nucleotide unclassified non-coding RNA is filed under the name Orussus abietinus. RNAcentral describes it as "putative sulfiredoxin, transcript variant X4". The record is from RNAcentral. Lineage: Eukaryota; Metazoa; Arthropoda; Insecta; Hymenoptera; Orussidae.
UUGUCCUUGUCUUUCGCAAGAAAUUUGGAUUCAAGCACGUCAUGUGUCCUUGUUGUAUCUAGACUUCGGAAGGAUAAACGUGGCUUCGCUUUUCUCGCCGUCGAAGAAUCGUCUACAAUUUCCGACCACCGGCAACCGAGAUUUGUCAAAGUUAACGAGAAUCGCUUUUCGCUAUUUAUCAGCCAGUAGAGUGAGGUUAUGUUGCACAGCCCUCUUCGCCACGAGUGGGAUUACCGACUUUUAAGUCCUCCUUGAGAUUAAUCGUAAUGUCAGCGAGAACGUGCUUGUCCAGGGUUAUCUCCGCUGGAUUUAGAGAUUUACAAUUUAGAGAUCUUCACGUGGUAUCGAGACUUAGUCACUCAGAGCAAGAUGUUGAGGCUAGGCGUAAGGAAGUUAUGUCUCGAGGUCUCCCGAAACAGAAACCGAUCGAAGGUGUUAAACAAAUUUUACUCGUAGCUUCUGGGAAAGGAGGCGUAGGUAAAUCGACUACGUCUGUAAAUUUAGCAAUCGCGAUAAAGCUUCUCGAACCUGAGAAAUCUGUAGGACUGUUAGAUGCAGAUGUCUUUGGGCCGACUAUUCCACUGAUGAUGAAUCUUCAUCAGUCACCUAUCUUAAACAAAGACAGUCUAAUGGAACCCCUCAUAAAUCAUGGCAUUAAGUGCAUGUCAAUGGGAUUUUUAAUAGACGAGAAGUCACCCGUGAUCUGGAGAGGGCUCAUGGUAAUGAGUGCGUUAGAGAAACUGAUAAGACAGGUUGCAUGGAGUCCGGUUGAUUAUUUAAUCAUAGACACGCCACCAGGGACAGGUGAUACGCAUUUAUCCCUGGUUCAAAAUAUUCCAAUUAGUGGUGCACUUCUUGUAACGACUCCCCAAAGGGCUGCCUUAGAUGUAACACGGAGAGGAGCAGUUAUGUUCCGAAAACUGAACGUCCCAUUAGCUGGUAUCGUGGAGAAUAUGUCAAAUAUCAUCUGUCCGAACUGUACUUCCGAUAUUCCUCUUUAUGGCAAAGGAACGGCAUCAUUGGCCGAAGAACUUGGAAUAUCCGUAAUGCAAAAAGUGCCUCUGCAUAAUGACGUCUCCGAAAGUGGAGACACAGGAAAGCCAAUUGUACUCGCAAAGCCUGAUUCGGUCCAAGCCUUGGCAUUCAAAGAAUUAGCAAAGAACGUGACUUCCUUCUUAGCCAAACAAUCUGUGAAUUCGGAGUAAUCAAAAGUCAGUGAUAAGUGUCCGAGUAGUUUGACAUACAGUUCGAUCAGUGUGUUCUCGCAUACUUGAAACUGGUACGAGUCCCCUCUCCAGUCUGAUAGUCAAGGUGACGUGCACUGGUGGGAGUGUGACUCGUCAGAAAAUAUAUGACUAUCUCUUUCGGGCUCGAUUGACUAGUUAUGGAACUGUGCGUUAAGC